This 529-nucleotide ribosomal RNA is filed under the name uncultured bacterium. RNAcentral describes it as "bacterial SSU rRNA". It matches the Rfam family "Bacterial small subunit ribosomal RNA", at positions 777 to 1304 of the family's 1533-position model. The record is from RNAcentral.
AAUAGAUACCCGGGUAGUCCACGCUGUAAACGAUAUCAACUAGCUGUUGGUUAUAUGAAAAUAAUUAGUGGCGCAGCAAACGCGAUAAGUUGACCGCCUGGGGAGUACGGUCGCAAGAUUAAAACUCAAAGGAAUUGACGGGGGCCCGCACAAGCGGUGGAGCAUGUGGUUUAAUUCGAUGCAACGCGAAGAACCUUACCUACCCUUGACAUACAGUGAAUAAAGCAGAGAUGCAUUAGUGCCUUCGGGAACACUGAUACAGGUGCUGCAUGGCUGUCGUCAGCCCGUGUCGUGAGAUGUUGGGUUAAGUCCCGUAACGAGCGCAACCCUUAUCCUUAGUUGCCAUCGCGUAGAGGCGGGAACUCUAAGGAGACUGCCGGUGACAAACCGGAGGAAGGCGGGGAUGACGUCAAGUCAUCAUGGCCCUUACGGGUAGGGCUACACACGUGCUACAAUGGCCGAUACAGAGGGCAGCGAAGGGGCGACCUGGAGCAAAUCUUAGAAAGUCGGUCGUAGUCCGGAUUGGAGU